This 411-nucleotide long non-coding RNA is filed under the name Vitis vinifera (wine grape). Its description in RNAcentral is "long non-coding RNA (VVIN_LNC002435)". Lineage: Eukaryota; Viridiplantae; Streptophyta; Magnoliopsida; Vitales; Vitaceae. The record is from RNAcentral.
AAACUAGACUUCACUUUCUCCACAAAUUCACUGUUCUUAAAGCCCUCAAAAAUAUCCGACGAUGAACUCCUCCUCUGCAAUCUCGUCUUCAACGCCCGAAUUGGCUCCCAUUCCUUCUGUCCCUCUUCACUCUCCUCCUUCCACUCCCCCCAAAACUCCUUCAACCUCAGCCCCCUCCCUCUACGAACCCUCUCCCACCCACGAAACCCUAAGCCCCCAUCCCUCUCCUCCGCGUCCGCAACAAUCGCGUUCUUUAUGGCUGACAAAUCGAUCCGAAUCCUCGUCCGAGGGCUCCAUUUCUCCAGAACCUUCCGGCUGAAGUCCGGCGACGAGUACGCUCGCCGAAUUUCGGAGAUCUUCGGCUGCAAACGCUUGACGAAGUCAAUUUCAGCCGGCGGCGAGGACUUGAUG